GACGAACGCUGGCGGCGUGCUUAACACAUGCCAGUCGAACGGAAAGGCCCUGCUUGCAGGGUACUCGAGUGGCGAACGGGUGAGUAACACGUGGGUGAUCUGCCCUGCACUUCGGGAUAAGCUUGGGAAACUGGGUCUAAUACCGGAUAGGACCGCACUUUAGUGUGUGUGGUGGAAAGUUUUUUCGGUGUAGGAUGAGCUCGCGGCCUAUCAGCUCGUUGGUGGGGUAAUGGCCUACCAAGGCGGCGACGGGUAGCCGGCCUGAGAGGGUGUACGGCCACAGUGGGACUGAGAUACGGCCCAGACUCCUACGGGAGGCAGCAGUGGGGAAUAUUGCACAAUGGGCGCAAGCCUGAUGCAGCGACGCCGCGGGGGGGAGGAAGGCCUUCGGGUUGUAAACUCCUUUCGCUAGGGACGAAGCUUUUUGUGACGGUACCUAGAUAAGAAGCACCGGCUAACUACGUG
Molecule: ribosomal RNA, 465 nt
Filed under: uncultured bacterium
Lineage: Bacteria
Description: partial 16S ribosomal RNA
Rfam family: Bacterial small subunit ribosomal RNA
Source: RNAcentral